This 1493-nucleotide ribosomal RNA is filed under the name Aerococcus sp. Group 2. RNAcentral describes it as "partial 23S ribosomal RNA". It matches the Rfam family "Bacterial large subunit ribosomal RNA", at positions 1 to 1506 of the family's 2925-position model. Lineage: Bacteria; Bacillati; Bacillota; Bacilli; Lactobacillales; Aerococcaceae. The record is from RNAcentral.
GGUUAAGUGAAUAAGGGCGUACGGUGAAUGCCUUGGCACUAGGAGCCGAUGAAGGACGGGACGAACACCGAUAUGCUUCGGGGAGCUGUAAGUAAGCUUUGAUCCGGAGAUUUCCGAAUGGGGGAACCUCAUUGUUUUUAUCGACAAUGGUCCACUCAGUGAACACAUAGCUGAGUGGAAGGUAGACGUGGUGAACUGAAACAUCUCAGUAGCCACAGGAAGAGAAAGAAAAAUCGAUUUCCCGAGUAGCGGCGAGCGAAACGGAAAGAGGCCAAACCAGCGUGCUUGCAUGCUGGGGUUGUAGGACUGAUGGACGGGAGUGAAUGAGCUAGUCGAACGCCAUGGAAAGGGCGAUCAGAGAGGGUGACAAUCCCGUAGGCGAAAGCUCAGCCACCUCAUUCAGUAUCCUGAGUACGGCGGUACACGUGAAAUUCCGUCGGAAUCCGCCAGGACCAUCUGGCAAGCCUAAAUACUCCCUAGUGACCGAUAGUGAACCAGUACCGUGAGGGAAAGGUGAAAAGCACCCCGGAAGGGGAGUGAAAGAGUACCUGAAACCGUAUGCCUACAAGCAGUCAGAGCCCGUUAAGGGGUGAUGGCGUACUUUUUGUAGAACGGACCGGCGAGUGACGAUAGCAAGCAAGGUUAAGCUGAAGAAGCGGAGCCACAGCGAAAGCGAGUCUGAAGAGGGCGUUGAGUUUGUUGUCGUCGACCCGAAACCAAGUGAUCUACUCAUGUCCAGGCUGAAGGUGUGGUAAAACACACUGGAGGGCCGAACCCACGUCUGUUGAAAAAGGCGGGGAUGAGGUGUGGGUAGCGGUGAAAUUCCAAUCGAACUUGGAGAUAGCUGGUUCUCUCCGAAAUAGCUUUAGGGCUAGCCUCGGAUGAUGACUAUUGGAGGUAGAGCACUGUUUGAUCGAGGGGUCCAUCCUGGAUUACCGACAUCUGAUAAACUCCGAAUGCCAAAUAGUUUAGUCCGGGAGUCAGACUGCGAGUGAUAAGAUCCGUAGUCGAAAGGGAAAGAGCCCAGACCACCAGCUAAGGUCCCAAAGUUUCAGUUAAGUGGAAAAGGAUGUGGGGUUGCUUAGACAACUAGGAUGUUGGCUUAGAAGCAGCCAUCAUUGAAAGAGUGCGUAAUAGCUCACUAGUCGAGUGACCCUGCGCCGAAAAUGUACCGGGGCUAAACUGAACACCGAAGCUGUGGAUCCGUAGGAUGGUAGGAGAGCGUUCUAUAGGCAGAGAAGCAUGAUCGUGAGGACAUGUGGAGCGUAUAGAAGUGAGAAUGCCGGUAUGAGUAGCGAAAGACGGGUGAGAAUCCCGUCCACCGAAUGACUAAGGUUUCCUGGGGAAGGCUCGUCCUCCCAGGGUUAGUCGGGACCUAAGCCGAGACCGAAAGGGAUAGGCGAUGGACAACAGGUUGAGAUUCCUGUACUUGUUUGAUUUGUUUGAGCGAUGGAAGGACACAGAAGGCUAAGCGGAGCGCGGAGAUGGAAAAA